UAGUGGUGGGGAUAACGUUCGAAACGGACGCUAAUACCGCAUACGUCCUACGGGAGAAAGCGGGGGAUCUUCGGACCUCGCGCCAUUAGAUGAGCCUAGGUCGGAUUAGCUAGUUGGUGAGGUAAUGGCUCACCAAGGCGACGAUCCGUAACUGGUCUGAGAGGAUGAUCAGUCACACUGGAACUGAGACACGGUCCAGACUCCUACGGGAGGCAGCAGUGGGGAAUAUUGGACAAUGGGCGAAAGCCUGAUCCAGCCAUGCCGCGUGUGUGAAGAAGGUCUUCGGAUUGUAAAGCACUUUAAGUUGGGAGGAAGGGUAGUAACCUAAUACGUUGCUACUUUGACGUUACCGACAGAAUAAGCACCGGCUAACUUCGUG
Molecule: ribosomal RNA, 379 nt
Filed under: uncultured bacterium
Lineage: Bacteria
Description: bacterial SSU rRNA
Rfam family: Bacterial small subunit ribosomal RNA
Source: RNAcentral